GAUGAACGCUGACAGAAUGCUUAACACAUGCAAGUCGACUUGAAGCAACUUCGGUUGUGGAAAGUGGCGGACGGGUGAGUAACGCGUAAAGAACUUGCCCUUCAGUCUGGGACAACCAUUGGAAACGAUGGCUAAUACCGGAUAUUAUGGAACUCUCGCAUGGGAGGAUCAUGAAAGCUAUAUGCGCUGAAGGAGAGCUUUGCGUUCCAUUAGCUAGUUGGUGAGGUAACGGCUCACCAAGGCGACGAUGGAUAGCCGGCCUGAGAGGGUGAUCGGCCACAAGGGGACUGAGACACGGCCCUUACUCCUACGGGAGGCAGCAGUGGGGAAUAUUGGACAAUGGACCAAAAGUCUGAUCCAGCAAUUCUGUGUGCACGAUGAAGGUUUUCGGAUCGUAAAGUGCUUUCAGUUGGGAAGAAGAAAGUGACGGUACCAACAGAAGAAGCGACGGCUAAAUACGUGCCAGCAGCCGCGGUAAUACGUAUGUCGCAAGCGUUAUCCGGAUUUAUUGGGCGUAAAGCGCGUCUAGGCGGGUUCAUAAGUCUGAUGUUAAAAUGCGAGGCUCAACUCCGUAUCGCGUUGGAAACUGUGAACCUAGAGUAUCAGAGAGGUGGGCGGAACUACAAGUGUAGAGGUGAAAUUCGUAGAUAUUUGUAGGAAUGCCGAUGGAGAAGUCAGCUCACUGGAUGAAUACUGACGCUAAAGCGCGAAAAGCGUGGGUAGCAAACAGG
Molecule: ribosomal RNA, 731 nt
Filed under: uncultured bacterium
Lineage: Bacteria
Description: bacterial SSU rRNA
Rfam family: Bacterial small subunit ribosomal RNA
Source: RNAcentral